UCCUACGGGAGGCAGCAGUGGGGAAUAUUGGACAAUGGGGGGAACCCUGAUCCAGCCAUGCCGCGUGUGUGAAGAAGGCCUUAUGGUUGUAAAGCACUUUAAGCGAGGAGGAGGCUACUUUAGUUAAUACCUAGAGAUAGUGGACGUUACUCGCAGAA
This 158-nucleotide ribosomal RNA is filed under the name uncultured Acinetobacter sp. RNAcentral's name for it is "partial 16S rRNA". It matches the Rfam family "Bacterial small subunit ribosomal RNA", at positions 337 to 486 of the family's 1533-position model. The record is from RNAcentral. Lineage: Bacteria; Pseudomonadati; Pseudomonadota; Gammaproteobacteria; Moraxellales; Moraxellaceae.